CAUGAAACUGAGAGAACUCUGACCUGCAUUUUGCGGGAGAUCCCUUGAUGCAGCAGUGCUGGAUGUUGACUGAUACUUCAGACAGGUGCCCUGCCUGAGAAACACAAGCUUCUACAGGACGUGAUGGUUGAACUAAUGCAGAAGGACCCAGGCACAGAAGAGCUGCUGAGCCGGAGAGGUACUGGAUGCAUCUGCUGGCACAAUGGCAGGCAACGCAGUCCAUCCCGUCUGCAGUUACCCUGCUCACAAACUCCCUGUACUUCAUCUGUAAGCACCACUGUCUGAACGCCUUCAGCUUCUUUUUGGGCUCAAGCUCGAACAGCAGCACCAACCCUCACCCUUGCUGACCGUGGACCUUGAAAAAGAGGAAAGGACAAAGUCUGAUGUUUUGAUUUUUUUCAGAUCUUUCUGAAGGAGAAAUACAGAUGAAAGCAAAGCUCUUUGUGACUGAUUUUUUUUUUUUUUCUUCACUAUCUACUUGAAAGGCAGUGGGUCAGAAUUAAGGCAUUUUUGCUGUGAAGGAAAUGUGUGGGAUGUUGGCUGCAAGCCAGUAGCCACUGACAUCCCUGCUGCACUAGGAAUACUUGAAUGAAGUGGGCGUCAACCUCGGGAGAGCGGGCAGCACUACCUACAUCAGAGGAAAGCCUCUUCAUUGAGAUUCAAGGAGUAAAAGUAUUCAAUGGAGAGAAACCAGUCUGGUAGAUCUUUCUAUGGGGGACUGUGAAAAUGCAAGAAUCAUCAGCCAGUCUGGAAGAGCAUCCUCUAAGGUCCUGUGCCUAUCAGGUCCCGUUUGUUCUGUGAGAAGAGAGAUCCAUAUAUCCCUGACUUCUCUGGCAAUUUUAAAGUUUCAUCUUCUAGUUCUGUUUUCUCAACACAAACAAUGAUGAAAUAACAUCCGGAAGCUUUCAGCCAGUAGUCCUUGCUGCAUCCAGUCUUUUAGUAUUUUUUUCCAAAACCAGAAUAAAAAAUCUCAAGAGUGUCAAA
Molecule: long non-coding RNA, 984 nt
Organism: Apus apus (common swift)
Lineage: Eukaryota; Metazoa; Chordata; Aves; Apodiformes; Apodidae
Exons: 2
Source: RefSeq, a predicted model, not a curated record